RNAcentral lists this ribosomal RNA (487 nucleotides) under Qinia hubeii. RNAcentral describes it as "Cymbellales sp. JLiang-2023a partial large subunit ribosomal RNA". It matches the Rfam family "Eukaryotic large subunit ribosomal RNA", at positions 41 to 651 of the family's 3401-position model. The record is from RNAcentral. Lineage: Eukaryota; Bacillariophyta; Bacillariophyceae; Cymbellales; Cymbellaceae.
UUUUCUUUAGGGAGGAAAGGCAUUACAAAGAUUCCCCUAGUAAAGGCGAUUGAAGCGGGAAAAGCUCAGCAUGUGAAUUGGUGUUUGCACCAAGUUGUGGUCUGUGGACUCUUGCAUUAUGACUGGAUGAAGUCCCUUGGAACAGGGCGGCGAAGAGGGUGAUACCCCCGUGAAUCCAGUCUCUCAAUUGUCAUAGAGUCGAGUUGUUUGGGAUUGCAGCUCUAAUCUGGUGGUAAAUUCCAUCUAAAGCUAAAUACUGAUGGGAAGCCGAUAGCGAACAAGUACCGUGAGGGAAAGAUGCAAAGAACUUUGAAAAGAGAGUUAAAGAGUACCUGAAAUUGCUGAAAAGGAAGCGAAGGAAAUCAGUGAUUACCUAGUCAUAUUUUCCUAUCUGCUUGCGGGUAGGACGCUGUGGGUAUGGUUUCGAUUGGUUUGGUCAGAUCAAAGAUAGCCUCGGGCUCGAGCCGAAAUGGUUUUCUUCUUCCCG